Molecule: long non-coding RNA, 837 nt
Filed under: Fukomys damarensis (Damara mole-rat)
Lineage: Eukaryota; Metazoa; Chordata; Mammalia; Rodentia; Bathyergidae
Description: lncRNA (ENSFDAG00000028320.1)
Source: RNAcentral
AUGAAGAGAAUUUUCCCCUUCGUACUUCUGGCCUCAGUCCCCUACUUUCUGCUGAGCUGGGUGGGAGUAAUUGCCAUUGGACUGUCCAUGCUUUUAGCUGGUCAGCACUGGUCCAGCAAAGUCCGUGAGCCAGCACACUGCCUUCCUCCCCAUCCAUCUGGUGAGACUGACGGGCCCAUUGGACCUCCUCCCUCCCCAGGGGCUGCUCCAAGGCCAAUGGAGGGGAAGGGUGGACCCCACAGGCUCAGACCUCCUGCAAAGACAGAAUUCUGCCCACAAGGUGUCAUCCCUGGGAUGAGACUGCAACUCCUACACAUCCUCAUUCCAGCCUUGCAAAGCUGAAGCAGAGGACCCAACUAAGCCAGAUCUAGACUCCUGACCAUAGGAACUGUGAAAUCACAAAUGUGCGAUAAUUUGUCAAUAAAGGUGAGUAAUUUGUCAUGCAGCAAAAGAAAACUAAUACACCAUUCAACCUUUGGUGGGGGGCAAUUUCCUCAAGUAAAAAUCAGUUGGACAGGAGAAACUUGGUAGCUGAAAUUCUGGAAUUCUAUAUAAUUUAAAUCUUUUUCUAUAGUGGAAAUUAAAAUUUCAGCCAGGUUUGUCUACAUUAUUAGAAAUUCUGCUUUGAGAUUAUAAUCUUUAAGACGCACAGAACAACCCCCACAUGCAUCAGCACACACACACAACCACAGAGAUAACUGAUGUCAUAGCUACACUUCCCCAACACUGGGGAAGUUAGAUGUGAAAUGUAUAAAAGAAAGGUUCACAUUCCUGGAGACUUUCAAAGUACCUGGCCAAGCCAGACCUAGAGAGAGGAAACUAUUUACUAAACACUCU